UCGCUGAAUAUUGGCAAGCUGCAAUGUAGCUUUACUAUUUGGCUGUAGCAGCGCUACUAAAGUUCCAACUGUUGGAAAAUAAGCUUGGAAUUCCAUUUGGCAGUUAUUUGGUCAUCACAUCGCUUAGAAAGCAACAGAUUUUGCCAUGUGACAGUCAUUUAAGUGCGCUGCAUUUUAGCUUAAAUUUUAGGUGGGACAGCGCUACCUUAACCUCAUAAGAAAGCGAAUUCGCUUGAAAUUCUGUUUGGUUGAGAUUUGGCAGUUAGGUUAGUCAUUUCAGCCGCGAAUUCUGGCAUUCUGGAUUAAAAAAGCAGCUGAUUUGUGUUUAUAAGUAUAUAAGCGAUUCUUAUAGGUGUUAUUAUUAGUUAUGGGGAAGUUCAAACUCUCAAGUGCUAAUUUUCAAAAAUUGAAAAAUUUCAAAUUAAGUGGAACCUAUUAUAGACACAUUAAAAAGUCGGUGAAGUCGGACUUUACAACUAUCAAUGCUACGAAAGAGUACGAAAUAAACUUAAUUGAGGACAAUGUAAACCAUUUAAGUGAAACCAAUGAUAUACAAAUCCCUAAUCAGAAACUGCCUCUUUCCUUAUUACCAGUUGAUGAAACAAUCGAUUCAUCAAACAGUGACGAUCAAGAAUGCGUUGAAGAAAGUUAUUUACGAAAUAACAGUGACUCGCAAGAUGAAGAUGUAAUAACUUACAAUUUCAAUGAAAAGUUACGACAAUGGGCCAUUUCAUUUAAUAUCUCUCAUGUUGCCAUUACAGCAUUGUUAACGAUGUUACAUGUACUUAAAUUACCUAACCUACCAAAAUCAUCAAGAACACUUUUACAAACCCCCAGAGAAACAACAAUUGCGAAAAUGGGCAAUGGCCAUUAUUGGCAUAAUAUGGACUCGAAAAGGGAAUUGUUAACUUACUACCUAAGAUUGAUAGUGCAACUAAUUUAGAAUUAAGUUUCAAUAUUGAUGGGUUACCAAUAUACAACAGUACAAAAAUGGAAUUUUGGCCCAUUUUGUGUUUAAUAAACAAUAUGCGAAACUUGCAUCCAUUCGUAGUGGGCAUUUAUUGUGGUACCACCAAACCACCCAGUGUUCAGGGUUAUUUAACACCAUUUGUAGAAGAAAUAAAACCUCUUUUAAAGAAUGGGAUUUUCAUUAAUGGAAUAAAAUGCAGUUUAAAGGUGAGAUGCUUCAUUUGCGACACUCCAGCUCGUUCAUUUGCAAAAGGUGUUGUGAAUUUCAAUGCAUAUAACAGAUGCACAAGAUGUACGGUCAUUGGAGAAUACAAUCAUGAAUCUCAUCGUAUGAGUUUUCCGCGCAUUGAUUUGAACGUAAUUUGGCUCAAACACUUAAAUUAUGAUUAAAAACACUACUAUUAAUAAACAAAAACAACGCUUCGCUUAACACUCGCGAGUUCAGAACUAUUCGUCAUGUUACAGAUUAGCGCAGAUGGAUAUUUCGAUGCACGCAAUUUGGUAUGUUUCUAUAGACGGUAAAGGCAGGAGUUCGAAUCCGACCACCUCCAGAGAAUCGCUACUAAAAAAA
This is a long non-coding RNA of Photinus pyralis (common eastern firefly), 1540 nucleotides long. RefSeq lists it as uncharacterized. NCBI's taxonomy places the organism in Eukaryota, Metazoa, Arthropoda, Insecta, Coleoptera, Lampyridae. The transcript is spliced from 3 exons. The record is from RefSeq and is a predicted model, not a curated record.